GACGAACGCUGGCGGCGUGCUUAACACAUGCAAGUCGAACGGAAAGGCCCUGCUUUUGUGGGGUGCUCGAGUGGCGAACGGGUGAGUAACACGUGAGUAACCUGCCCUUGACUUUGGGAUAACUUCAGGAAACUGGGGCUAAUACAGGAUAGGAGCUCAUGCUGCAUGGUGGGGGUUGGAAAGUUUCGGCGGUUGGGGAUGGACUCGCGGCUUAUCAGCUUGUUGGUGGGGUAGUGGCUUACCAAGGCUUUGACGGGUAGCCGGCCUGAGAGGGUGACCGGCCACAUUGGUACUGAGGUACGGCGCAGACUCCUACGUGAGGCAGCAGUGGGGAAUAUUGCACAAUGGGCGGAAGCCUGAUGCAGCAACGCCGCGUGCGGGAUAACGGCCUUCUGGUGGUAAACCGCUUUCGCCUGUGACGAAGCGGGAGUGACGGUAAUGGGUAAAGAAGCACCGGCUAACUACGUG
This 468-nucleotide ribosomal RNA is filed under the name uncultured bacterium. RNAcentral describes it as "partial 16S ribosomal RNA". It matches the Rfam family "Bacterial small subunit ribosomal RNA", at positions 28 to 507 of the family's 1533-position model. The record is from RNAcentral.